RNA transcript from Panicum virgatum (switchgrass), 1508 nucleotides. It is a transcript of the gene named putative threonine aspartase, with no coding region annotated. NCBI's taxonomy places the organism in Eukaryota, Viridiplantae, Streptophyta, Magnoliopsida, Poales, Poaceae. The transcript has 8 exons. The record is from RefSeq and is a predicted model, not a curated record.
AACAUGAAAAGUGUAAAAUCCUACCUCCACAAGGGUCCCAACUGAUAACUCCUCGUGCUCGUCGGGAUGGCCACCGGCGGCGGCGGCGCGAGUGAGAUGGCCGUCGGCGUCGGGGAGGAAAACCCGAGCGCUUCGACUAUCCCCAGCCGCAGAUUCUUCAUGGCGCUGCACGUUGGCGCCGGCUUCCACGCGCCGGCCAACGAGAAGGCGUACCGCCGGGCCAUGAAGCGCGCCUGCCUCGCCGCCGCGGCCGUCCUCCGCGAGGGCAGUGGCACAAGCCUUGAUGCAGUUGCAGCUGCCAUUCAGGUUUUGGAGGAUGAUCCCAUCACAAAUGCUGGUCGGGGUUCAAAUUUGACUGAGAGUGGUCAUGUGGAAUGUGAUGCAAGCAUCAUGGAUGGAAGUACUGGUUCUUUUGGAGCUGUUGGAGCUAUUCGAGGUGUAAAGAAUCCAAUCCAAGUCGCUUUGCACUUGGCAAAGGAACAGAUUACAGGAUCAUCAUUGCUUGGUCGGAUACCCCCCAUGUUUUUGGUUGGUGAAGGAGCAUAUAAAUGGGCAAAAUCUAAAGGAAUGGACCUACUUGAAUCUAUGUCAGAGGCUAAUAGUUGGUUGGUGACUGAGAUUGCAAGAGCGCAGUGGGUAAAAUACAUGUCAUUGCUUGUUAAUUCCAAGAAAUUAUUAGAGCUUAACACUGGUUCUGGUUCAGAACAUGAUACAGUACAGUUGGAAGUACCAGGUUACCUCCAUGUUUACUUGCUACCGAUCUUAUUCGAGUUGCAUUUUGAACUUUUACUAAUCUGUUCAAUUAUCUUUUGGAACUCAACUGAACUUGAAUGCUUCACUUUGUUACCUUAGCAUAAUGAUAUUGAGUAGUUUGAAAACUUGCCCCUACACUGUACUUCUAUUUUAUUACUACCAAAUGCUAUUCUAAUAGGUAUUUUAUUUUAUUCAUUUUCUCAUAAUUACAUUUUUGCCUCCAGCAUUAUUCGAUAAGUUCCACCUGAAAUAUAAAUUUGACUGGUUUGUUGUGAAGCAGCCAUGCAACACAGUUUUACUGCUAUCCACAAGGUCUAUUGAAAGAUUUUAUACUGCAUAUGUAAUUGUCACAAUAUCCAACAGAUACCAUCACAGCAAACCUUCUUGUAUUGUGUGGCUGAAGGAGGCAAGGAACAUAUAGGCAAAUGCAGUGGCACUGAAUCUGAGAAUAUUGCUGAUGUAAAGAUGUUCACACAGACACUCAUGGAAGACAAUCAAGACUGUGUAAUGGAUACAGUUGGUGUUAUUUGUGUAGAUAGCUAUGGAAAUGUAGCAUCAGGUGCAUCUAGUGGUGGUAUUGCCCUGAAGGUAGAUGGCCGGGUUGGGCUUGCAGCUAUGUAUGGCUCUGGGUGCUGGGCUUCUUCCAGGACCCUUUGGUACACAAUUCAUAGUUGCCUGUUGUGCCACUGGAGCUGGAGAACAUUUGAUUAGAGGAUUUGCUGCCCGUGAAUGUUGCAUCUCAUCAUCAUUGUAUU